Molecule: microRNA precursor, 128 nt
Filed under: Asparagus officinalis (garden asparagus)
Lineage: Eukaryota; Viridiplantae; Streptophyta; Magnoliopsida; Asparagales; Asparagaceae
Description: miR167a stem-loop (aof-MIR167a)
Gene: aof-MIR167a
Rfam family: MIR167 microRNA precursor family
Source: miRBase by way of RNAcentral
GGGGAAUGAGUGAAGCUGCCAGCAUGAUCUAGCUUUGAUUGACACAAAUCUUAUAUAUUAUAUUGAACACCAAAAAUUAAGGGUCAACCCUUGCUAGGUCAUGCUCCGGCAGCCUCACUUCUUCCCUC